Molecule: ribosomal RNA, 439 nt
Filed under: uncultured bacterium
Lineage: Bacteria
Description: partial 16S ribosomal RNA
Rfam family: Bacterial small subunit ribosomal RNA
Source: RNAcentral
CUACGGGUGGCAGCAGUGAGGAAUAUUGAACAAUGGGGGGAACCCUGAUGCAGCAACGCCGCGUGGAGGAUGACGCAUUUCGGUGUGUAAACUCCUUUUAUAUGUCAAGAAAAUGACGGUAGCAUAUGAAUAAGCACCGGCUAACUCCGUGCCAGCAGCCGCGGUAAUACGGAGGGUGCAAGCGUUACUCGGAAUCACUUGGCGUAAAGGACGCGUAGGCGGGCUUGUAAGUCAGGUGUGAAAUCCUACAGCUUAACUGUAGAACUGCACUUGAAACUACGAGCCUAGAGUAUGGGAGGGGCAGAUGGAAUUAGUGGUGUAGGGGUAAAAUCCGUAGAUAUCACUAGGAAUACCUAAAGCGAAGGCGAUCUGCUGGAACAUAACUGACGCUAAGGCGUGAAAGCGUGGGGAGCAAACAGGAUUAGAUACCCUAGUAGUC